Molecule: long non-coding RNA, 3661 nt
Organism: Amphiprion ocellaris (clown anemonefish)
Lineage: Eukaryota; Metazoa; Chordata; Actinopteri; Pomacentridae
Source: Ensembl
UGGACACUAGUUUUAUUGGUUCUGAUAUCACUUUAGUCGCCGAGUUACAUGAAGAAAUCUGUGAAAAUGGCAGCAUCACUAGAAAUUGUUAACAAGACAGUAAGGCUGCUUCUAAAUGCUCUACUGUGCUGCUCUGGCAUUAUUUUCACAAAUUUAUGCUAAUAAAUUCAACUUAAAAAAGCAAUGAAGAGGGAAAAUGAAGCUCUCUGGUUUAACAGCAAGCAUGUUAGCUCAUUAGCUUAGCUCAUUGCAAAUGGAAUAGUAGGUUGAAGCAUUUGUUGCAUGUUUUUGCUCCAUCAACAAGCCACUGAUCUGUUGUAGAGCAUUUUAUAUUCUGGCAGUUACUUCAGAAUUAUUUUUAUUGCCAUUUUCCUGUGCACUUUGGCACAUGGAAGGGCUGGGAAUCAAACUGCCGACCUCGCAACUGAUUGACAACUGAAAAGUCAAGUUUUUUCUGAAAGCUCGAGAGUACAACUGCUGGUGUAGAUACCAGAUCUGGAUGUCAUGUGUUUGUGCCCCAGACUACUAUGUAAAUAAGCAAAUUUCAUGAUUGUGCCAAGAAAGAGAUCUAAAUGUAAAUGGACACGUAAUGAAAAUGUUUUUUUCUUAAAGUAGAUGUUUGAUACUUUUAAUGUGAAAAGAUUUUUUUAGAUUAUGGGUCUUUUCACCUGAAAUUAUCAGAUUUACUUCACUUUAACUAAUUUCUCUUAAAUUUUUAUAGCAUUAAAUACAUAGAUUUGUGAAAUUUUAGCUUGACAUGUCUAUCUUUCCCCCCAAAAUACCCCUGAGACUAUAGAGAUUAUUUAAUCUACUUGUCUAAUUUUGCAGAUUCUGAAUCAAUGUCAUGAUGAGAAAUAACAGUGAACAUUUCAGGCAUUUAUCUUUAAUAGUUGCUUAGAUAUUGAUGCUCAAGCAGAGUCAAAUUAAAAAGAAAAAAUGCGCUCAAAGUGAGUCGACAAGCAAUUUAUCUUGGUAGGUAUUUGAUACAUCAAUCUACAAUUUGACAAUUUUAGAUAAAGUUUAGGAUUUUAACAAUGUAGUUUAUGAAUAAAUAAUUCAAUCAAAUCAGAGACGAGUCAAACAGAACGUCCCUGAUGACCUGAGACAGAGUAAAUUGCAUGUAUUUCAUCCUUGCACAUUACCUGCUCUGUUAUUUAUUCCUAAAAGUCCUGCAACACUUUCCCCUGUACAAACCAGAUGAUGGAACUCUGGGAAGCAAAAAUGCAGCAAAACAAAUCAGUAGUUUGUCCAAUCUAGAGGAAAGAAACCUCAGCUGUGUCUCCAAUAAUUCUUACAGUAAUAUCCUAAUGUUGUUCAGUUACUAUACCAAUAGUAAGUAAUAGCAGAUGUGGCAGGAUUAACCCAACUGGUGCCUACAGCUGCAAAAACAAGCAAAUGUGGCAACCAAAGCACAUUAUUAUAGACAGUGCACUCACAUUUAUUACAUGUAGUGCUCUAUUAAACAUGCAUGAGAUGUUUUAAAUGUACAUUUUGGGGACUUUUUUUUAAAUUUUAGCAUUGGGAGAGACUUUCCAAUGAUUUGUUUACUAGAUAGUAACGUUAUCAAGCUAAUAUUUGAGCCCUAUUUUGGUUUCAUUGAUUAAUUACACAGAGCUGCUUCAUACAAUACAAUAAUUUCUUCUAUUUUCUAUUUUUUGGGCACUUUAUUCCCCUAAAUAACACCAAUCUGUUGUACAAAAUCUUUUCCCAAUUUCAAGUGGAUGAAAAAAAAAGUUUGGAUUUCCUCCUAUAAGAGCAUCCCCGUGUUUUUGUGCGGUUUGCAUCAUUGAGUUCAUUUUUUAAAUGUGGCUGAACUGUGAAUUCUUUAGAGUAAAUUUUUUCCUUUUUUUCGUCUUCGGGGGUGGUGGAGGGGUUGAGGAAAGCAGUACUCACCACCUCCGCUACCCAGCUUCCUGGGGGAAACCCUGCAAACUAUUCAGAAUUUCACAAGAAAAAGACGAAGUUCAAAGAAAUCAGAGAAGAAAAAAAAUAAGCAUAUGUAGCAGAAUUUCUUGUUGCUGAUCGCAUCAAUUCUAAUGAGCUUCUUGUUUUUUAGGGAUGUCGCUACACUCGGAUGCUUAAUCAUUUAGCUCGAUGAUUACUAAUUUAUUGUAACUGACGGAACCAAAAUGAAAUAAACCAGAAUUGUCCUUUUUAAAAGCUGCAUUCUGAGGUUUAAAGUACAAAACUUCAAGGUUGUACUUGAGCAUCAAAUGGAAGAGGGCUUUCAUGAAGUAUUCUAUACUGUAUGUACAGUAUGUUCCUAUAUCACUAUGUGUACAAAUAUUUAAAGCUGUGUACAGACAGAUAUUUUGCAAGUGUGUCAGGCUCAUGCAACGUGUACUCUACUAUUCAACAACUUCAAAUUGGAGUGUCUGUAAAUCAGUAUGUAUAAUCCUUGCCAACACCACACUAAAUAUGAAUUAUAUGCAAGUUAUAUACAAGUACUACCCGACACCUAUCCUCUUUUACUCACUACGUAGUGGUAUGUCGUCUAGGCAACUAAUAUCCAACCUGCAGAUAAAAAUGAAUGUUUGUCUGAAGGUUUCAGUCUUUGUAGAAACUUUAUUGAUGCGUUUUUUCUGAUUUGACUGACGGUGCAGCAGCAGCAGCACAACAGCCUAAACGUGCAGAAGCCCUGGCGAUGAUGCAACGUUGCAUCAGACACUUCAGUCAGCAUCAGAAAAUUCAAAACAACCAGAGGUGCAUUCUGGAAACUAAACUUUUCCCCAAAAGAGGAGACAUUUAAGUGCAGCAGUUGAAGAUUUCACUGAUCACAUGUACUUCUUUUUCUUCCAAUUCGAGGAACGAAGUCGGCUCUUUACCAAAGACAACAAAUUGUUUCCUGUAAUUUGAAGAACAGAGGACACGGCUGGAGGGGUUUUUUUGUUAUGUGUUUGUGUCAGAAGACGCUACGUUGUGGUUGAUGGCUCUGGCAUGUUCACAACCACAAUCUGCUGGCCGGCAGCAGCGAUGCAGAGCGAUCACACCCUGUUCGAGCUCACAGCACACAGAUAUUCACACGGCAACACGUCGACACAUACACGAGCUGCACUGAGGUCAAGCAUACACGCUUCAGAAUCGCUACUUUUAGGUUUUAUCUCCUAGUCCUUUCUGUGUCCACCAGCUGAACCUCAAAAUCGGAACUCAUCGCGCCUGUUUUUCUUAUUUUUCUCGUGUCCGAACAGCAAACCGACUCCUUGGUUCACUCAGGAGACAAAAAGAAAAGAUCAGAUCUGCCAGCAUUAGAUUAAAAACUAAACUCGUCCGUCAAAAGGUUUCCCUCAGAUUUACUCAGGAUACAAACGGCUAGCUCCAACAAAGAAUACACUGUAACAAACACACACUUUUCAUUCCUGUAUAGCUCCUGUAAGUAACUACGUGAGUCAGGUUGUGUGGGUUUUUUUCCUGGGUAACCUUAAAGCGCACAUGGAGACCUCAGCACUAAUGAACUCUCCACAACACUGAUGAGAAGUAAUGUCUGUGUUUUUAAAGCAGUGUGCGCUGGAACAACACUGCUGGCAUUUCGGGGACUUUGUGUGGAAAAACUAAAAAAUGAAAACGACCACAGAGGUAUAUAAAGAGUCACUUUUUCUUUUUUCCUCUCUGUCUGUCUGUAAAUAUUCUAAUAAAUAAACUGGAACUUGCACUGAAAUAAUAA